RNAcentral lists this ribosomal RNA (600 nucleotides) under uncultured bacterium. RNAcentral describes it as "bacterial SSU rRNA". It matches the Rfam family "Bacterial small subunit ribosomal RNA", at positions 185 to 819 of the family's 1533-position model. The record is from RNAcentral.
AUGGCAUCAUUCGACAUUGAAACUCCGGUGGAUAGAGAUGGGCACGCGCCAGAUUAGAUAGUUGGUGAGUACGGCUCACAAGUCUAAGACUUUAAGGGGCUGAGAGGUGAUCCCCCAAUGGUACUGAGACACGGACCAAAAUCCUACGGGAAGCACAGUGAGAAUAUUGGACAUGGGUGAAGCUGAUCAGCAUCCCGGUGAAGAGAAUGGCCUAUGGGUUGUAAAUUCCUUUGUAUANGGAUUAACUUAACCUCGUGAGGUAGUGAANGUACUAUAGAAUAAGCACGGGUUAAUUCCGUGCAGCAGACCGGGUAAUACGGAGGGUGCAGCGUUAUCCGGAUUUAUGGGUUUAAGGGUCCGUAGGGGAUCUGUAAGUCCAGGGUGAAAUCUCACAGUUUAAUUGUGAAAUGCAUUGAUAAUGGGUCUGAGUGUUGGUUGAAAGUAGUGGGAAUAAGUAGUUGUAGGGUGAAAUGGCUUAGAUUUUUACUUUAGAACACCAAUUGGGAAGGGCAGGUUACUUAAGCAAAAAUGGAGCUUAUGANAAAGGCGUGGGGACGACGGAUUAGAUACCUGGUAGUCAGGCGGUAAAGAGGCUACUCG